CGAUGUUAUUAGCAACGGCAGAUGGACUAUUAGCGAAGGCAAAUAGCCGUCACUAAUAGUCUGCAUUCUAUAGUGAUUAUAUUAUUCAUUAUAAUUAAUCUAUUAUAAGAUAACUUAUUAUUAUAAUAUAAUAUAUGAUAAUAUUAUAUAAUAUAUUAUAAUAUAUACUAUAUGAUAUAAUAUAGUAUAGUAUAUUACAGUACACAUAUUAAGUUAUUAUAAUAUUAGAAUAAUAAAUUAUUGAGAUAAUAUAAUACUAUAUUGCUAUAUCAUAU
RNAcentral lists this long non-coding RNA (275 nucleotides) under Elaeis guineensis (African oil palm). RNAcentral's name for it is "long non-coding RNA (EGUI_LNC029861)". The record is from RNAcentral. Lineage: Eukaryota; Viridiplantae; Streptophyta; Magnoliopsida; Arecales; Arecaceae.